UACAGAGACUGCAAGCGUUAUUCGGAUUCACUGGGCGUAAAGGGUGCGCAGGCGGCCGUGUGUGUCAGGUGUGAAAGCCCGGAGCUUAACUCCGGAAUUGCGCCUGAAACUACAUGGCUAGAGCAUUGGAGAGGGUAGCGGAAUUCACGGUGUAGCAGUGAAAUGCGUAGAUAUCGUGAGGAACACCAGAGGCGAAGGCGGCUACCUGGACAAUUGCUGACGCUCAGGCACGAAAGCGUGGGGAGCAA
RNAcentral lists this ribosomal RNA (248 nucleotides) under uncultured bacterium. Its description in RNAcentral is "partial 16S ribosomal RNA". It matches the Rfam family "Bacterial small subunit ribosomal RNA", at positions 524 to 771 of the family's 1533-position model. The record is from RNAcentral.